ACACAUGCAAGUCGAACGAAGCACUUUAUCUUUUUUCUUCGGAAUGAAGAUUUUGUGACUGAGUGGCGGACGGGUGAGUAACGCGUGGGUAACCUGCCUCAUACAGGGGGAUAACAGUUGGAAACGACUGCUAAUACCGCAUAAGCGCACAGGGUCGCAUGACCUGGUGUGAAAAACUCCGGUGGUAUGAGAUGGACCCGCGUCUGAUUAGCCAGUUGGUGGGGUAACGGCCUACCAAAGCAACGAUCAGUAGCCGACCUGAGAGGGUGACCGGCCACAUUGGGACUGAGACACGGCCCAAACUCCUACGGGAGGCAGCAGUGGGGAAUAUUGCACAAUGGGGGAAACCCUGAUGCAGCGACGCCGCGUGAGCGAAGAAGUAUUUCGGUAUGUAAAGCUCUAUCAGCAGGGAAGAAGAAAUGACGGUACCUGACUAAGAAGCACCGGCUAAAUACGUGCCAGCAGCCGCGGUAAUACGUAUGGUGCAAGCGUUAUCCGGAUUUACUGGGUGUAAAGGGAGCGCAGGCGGUACGGCAAGUCUGAUGUGAAAGCCCGGGGCUCAACCCCGGUACUGCAUUGGAAACUGUCGGACUAGAGUGUCGGAGGGGUAAGUGGAAUUCCUAGUGUAGCGGUGAAA
RNAcentral lists this ribosomal RNA (637 nucleotides) under uncultured organism. Its description in RNAcentral is "SSU rRNA". It matches the Rfam family "Bacterial small subunit ribosomal RNA", at positions 51 to 686 of the family's 1533-position model. The record is from RNAcentral.